CAGCUCCAGUGUGCCUUCCCUCUGCCCCUCUCAGAAGCACAUCCACCUCCAAGGGGGACCUGCAGCUGAGCAUUGGCCGCCGGUUCUUCAGCACACCGCUUCCAUGGAUCGCUUUUGAAAGGAUUAGUUUAUUUGCCUCCGUCGACUUUUUCCCGAAUUAUUCCUGGAGUCCAUUUAUGGGCAAAUGGCUCGGGCACUUUUUAUUGUUGUUUUUAGUUUGGAACUUUGCUAUGGUGCUGCUAUCGAGCUGCGCUUCACGUCCGACCCACCGUUGCUGAACAUCAACGGCGUCCAUCGGAUGAACAAAUCCGACAACCUGGAGCUCACGUGCAGAGGCCGCCAGUACCUGCGUUGGACCACCCCUCCCACCAGCGCUCGCUUUUCCAUCAGCGACUGUAGCGGGUCGGGCCUCUUUUGCACGGAGCUGCGGAUCACCAACGCCACCGUCAACGAAACGGGACAAUACCGGUGCUCCUACCGCAAUCUCAAAACGGAAGGCAGCAAGACAUCAGCGGCGGUUCACGUUUUUGUUCGUGAUGACAAGGUGCCGUUUGUUCCGUCCGAGAAGGAAUACGAGGUGGUGUUCCUCCGGGAAGGUGAGUGGGUGGUCAUACCGUGCCGAGGAUCUCUGGAGAACCUCAACGUGACACUUCAUACUAAGUAUCCAAACAAAGAGUUCCAUCCAGACGGGAAAGACUCCCUGUGGGACGCCAGAACCGGCUUCACCAUCCCUAGUCAUCUAAUCAGCUACACCGGCGUGGUGUCCUGCCAGACCCGCAUCGGCGACGAGACCUUCAAGUCCCCCCUCUACGUGGUGGCUGUCGUGGGAUACAAGAUUUACGACCUCAUUCUGACCCCCGCGCAAGUCAGGCUGUCCGUCGGUGAGCGUCUGGUGCUCCGCUGUACCGCGCACACUGAACUCAACGUGGGCAUCGAGUUCAACUGGACGCACGCCGGCCAGCCUCUGAUAGCGGGCAAUGGUUCAAGGGCGGCUCACAUGACGCCGUACAAGAAGAAGCUGUGGGACUCUCUGGAGUUAUCCAACACACUGGUGGUGGACAACGUGACGGUGGAACACACCGGCGAAUACACCUGCACGGCCUCCAGUGGAGCCAUGGACAAAAGCGUCACAGCCUUCCUCAAGGUUUACGAAAAGCCGUUCAUUGACAUAAAGGAGCCUUGGACCAAAGUAUGGGAGGUGAAUAUGGGAGGCUUGUCGUCCACCACCAUACCCGUUCGCUACACAGCCUACCCUGAACCGAGCUUUAAAUGGUUAAAAAAUGGCCUCCCACUGAAGGAAGACCACCGGAUCAAGCAGAGAAGCGACGCCCUCAUCUUUCGCGGCGUCACCGAAACCGACAUGGGGAACUACACUAUCGUCCUCAGCAACAAAGUCACCAAAGAUGAGCAAAGGCGAUCUUUCCAGCUUCUGGUUAAUGUUCCUCCUCAUAUCAUUGAGAAGGAAGUGGCGAUGGACACGGACGUUUUUUUGUACGACAGCACCCCAACGCUGCGAUGCACCGCCCGAGGUUUUCCCACACCCACGUACAUCCAGUGGCAGUGGAUGUCCACCGACAACUGCCCCGAGGCUUUUGUGCCGGGACUGUCCAUAUCUGAGGAGCAAAUAGUCUACUGCAAAGCUUGGCGCGACAUCCAUAACGGCACCGCGCACAACCGUGUGGAGCAGAUCUCCACUGAUGUGGAUCAUGGCCAGAAGAAAAUGGUGAGCUCCUUGAAGUUCCACAAAGCCAAAGUCGACGCCCUGUACCGAUGCACGGCCGCCAACAAAGUGGGAAAGGAUUCCCGCGUUAUUUUCUUCCACGUGACACGCGGCCUGGAGCUAAGCAUGUCUCCGUCCGACGAACCUCUGGAGGAGGAGCACGUGUCUCUCCGCUGCAAGGUCGACGGGCUGAUAUACGGCAACCUGGCCUGGUUCCGCGUUUCCAACAGCUCCGGGUGGGAGCGGGCGGCGGCCGCGCAACCGUGCCGCUCGUUGGCGCUGCCGCCAACGCCGUUGCUGCGCCUCGACACGUCCAAUGGCGAGCACGGCGCCAACGUGAGUUUGGAGCUAUUGCUGCCCAGUGCUUCCCGACGGGACGAGGGCCUGUACGCCUGCCAGGUGGAGAGCCUCAAGACCAGGGAGAGGACUUGUCUGCUGCGCCACCUGUCACUCAAAGGUCUGGAGGCGCCGAGGAUCCUCAACAACCUCACCGACCAAAAAGUCAACGUGAGCGCCACUGUCUCGCUCCUGUGCGCCGCCGCCGGCACGCCCGACCCGACGGUGGUGUGGACCAAAAACAACCAGACUGUGGUUGAAGGCUCCGGUGUGAUCCUGAGUCGGCGUGGUCAUCUGCUCACCAUCCAGCGUGUCAAGAAGGACGAUGGCGGCUUGUACAGCUGCUCUGCUUGCAACAGCCGCGGAUGCCACACCUCGCAGGCCGCGUUGACGACGGAAGACGCGGAGGAAAAAACCAACGUGGAGCUGAUCGUUCCCAUCGGCUCAGUGGUCUUCGCCAUGUUUUUAUGGCUACUGCUCGUCUUUGUCUUUCGCAGGAGAAAACGAGCCAACCGUGGCGAUCUCAAGACGGGCUACCUCUCCAUGAUCCUGGACUCGGAGGACGUGCCCAUGGACGAGCAGUGCGAGCGGCUCACUUACGACGCAAACAAGUGGGAAUUCCCUCGGGACAGGCUGAAGCUCGGUGACCCGCUGGGACGAGGCGCUUUCGGUCAGGUUGUGGAAGCCGCCGCCUUCGGGAUCGAGAAAAUCACCACCUGCACCACCGUGGCCGUUAAGAUGCUUAAAGAGGGAGCCACGUCCAGCGAGUUCCGAGCUUUGAUGUCAGAAUUGAAGAUCCUCAUCCACAUCGGACAUCACCUGAAUGUGGUCAACCUUCUGGGAGCCUGCACGAAGCCUGGCGGCCCUCUCAUGGUCAUCGUGGAGUACUGCAAACACGGAAACCUCUCCAGUUACUUGAAGAGCAAACGUGGAGAAUACAGCCCGUAUAAGAGAAAGAGAACAGACAGCCAAAGGUGGACGUCCGCAGAAGUCGACGUGACCGAAGGUGAUCUCGGCCUGGGGAAGAUCGCUCAGCUGGACAUCUGCACCGGGACUGCCGACAGAGCUUCAGGCAGUCACCUGACUCCCCAGGAUGAGAGCACAGACGAUGACCACCUGACCAUGGAGGACCUGAUCUGCUACAGUUUCCAGGUGGCCAAAGGAAUGGAGUUCCUGUCCUCUCGCAAGUGCAUCCACAGAGAUCUGGCCGCCAGGAACAUCCUGCUCUCGGAGAACAACGUGGUAAAGAUCUGCGACUUUGGUCUGGCCAGGGAUGUCUACAAGGACCCGGAUUACGUUCGCAAGGGAGAUGCACGGCUUCCUUUGAAGUGGAUGGCGCCAGAGACCAUCUUCGACCGGGUGUACACCACCCAAAGUGAUGUCUGGUCCUUCGGGGUCCUUCUCUGGGAGAUCUUUUCGCUGGGAGCGUCUCCCUAUCCCGGCGUGUGCAUCGACGAGACUUUCUGCCGACGGCUUAGAGAAGGCACCAGGAUGAGACCACCAGAGUACGCCACCUCAGAGAUAUACCAAACCAUGUUGGACUGCUGGCUGGACCGUCCCACGGACAGGCCUACCUUUGCGGAACUGGUGGAGCAUCUGGGCAAUUUGCUGCAGGCCAGCGCUCAUCAGGACGGCAAGGACUACAUCCCCCUGACGGCAGAAGGCGACGUGGCGGGAGCUCUGUCUUACGCCACGCCUCAGAGCAGAGACAUCCAGGAAGUUCAGCCGCACUAUGACAACGCUCUGGCUCUCGGGCAGGGCGAAAUGUGCAGCCGGAGGCUCAGCGUGAAGACGUUUGAUGACGUGCCUGUGGAGCACAGCAGCGUCAUGGAGGGUCACAUGGACUGUUCACCUGAGGAAGCGAUAGGUUCGAGUCCGCAGCUCUCGAUGACGCCCAACUUGAGCCGGCUCAUGCGCUGCAAAAGCAAAGAAUCGCUGGCGUCCGAGUCCUCCAACCAGACGAGCGGCUACCAGUCGGGCUACCACUCGGACGACGCCGACGCGCCCAUCUACGCCAACGAGGAGUCCAUCGUCAAGCACAGCAUGUUCCUAAAAAAGCAGAAGACUCCACCUGCGCCUCCUGUGCCCAAAUUUGGCGCGGAGAUCCGUUACAGCACGCCGCCCGUCUGACCCCGGAACCCUCUGCUUGUACAUUUUCUUUUUAAAUUGUUGUUGAACAAUGUGUAGAGCUGCAGCGCUGUUGUUGUUGGCGUCAUAAAUCAACCGGAAGAAAAAUGAAGGUUGACUGACGGGUGGCUGUAAACCAUCCGCGGUUAUCAUGUUUACUCAGUGAGUUAACAGUAGGACUCGCUUCCUGUCCGGCCGGAAAUGCCGCUGGAAAUUUUGAGAUUGUGGCGUCAUGUGGCGGAAUGCUUUUGUGUGCCAGAGGAUGUAGUUCUCAUUUCUUCUUUGUGUACAGUCUCUUAUUUGUACCUGUAUUACAGUAUGUAACCUAUGCUAGCUAAAGGAUUCAUGUGUACUCAAACCAAGCAUCCAUGUGUCUUCAUAGAACUAAAUAAAGGUUGAAAGAAUAGCAAAGGCGCUGAUCACAGAGGAGUAGUCUCGCCUUACAGGUUUGCACAAGUGACACCAGACACGGGCCAUCGCCAUCGUCUGUCAUCGGGAUGCCUCACGUCCGUAUCUCCCUUCAACUGAGUGAUGGACUGGCUUUGUUCCGUCACAAACAUCAUGACGGAUGACUGAUGGACUUGCUCUGACUCAAAGAUGAUGUUAGCCUGUCACAGGGAUGGAGACAUCUGGGUGAUGGAUGGAGGCGAGCAGCGAUAUGCCUCAUUGACCUGAAGCUCCGCCUCCUUUUAAAGGCCAAGAAAAAUAUGAACAGUUUGUUUUUAAUCUCUGUAUUACAAAUUUCAUGUUCAGGCCUUGAUGUGAAUUGAAUGAGCAAACGCAAAUAGAGAAAAACAAGAACA
Molecule: RNA transcript, 4986 nt
Organism: Syngnathus acus (greater pipefish)
Lineage: Eukaryota; Metazoa; Chordata; Actinopteri; Syngnathiformes; Syngnathidae
Gene: kdr
Gene name: kinase insert domain receptor (a type III receptor tyrosine kinase)
Exons: 31
Source: RefSeq, a predicted model, not a curated record